AUUGAACGCUGGCGGCAUGCCUUACACAUGCAAGUCGAACGGUAACAGGUCUUCGGAUGCUGACGAGUGGCGAACGGGUGAGUAAUACAUCGGAACGUGCCCGAUCGUGGGGGAUAACGAAGCGAAAGCUUUGCUAAUACCGCAUACGAUCUACGGAUGAAAGCAGGGGGCCGCAAGGCCUUGCGCGAACGGAGCGGCCGAUGGCAGAUUAGGUAGUUGGUGGGAUAAAAGCUUACCAAGCCGACGAUCUGUAGCUGGUCUGAGAGGACGACCAGCCACACUGGGACUGAGACACGGCCCAGACUCCUACGGGAGGCAGCAGUGGGGAAUUUUGGACAAUGGGCGAAAGCCUGAUCCAGCCAUGCCGCGUGCAGGAUGAAGGCCUUCGGGUUGUAAACUGCUUUUGUACGGAACGAAAAGACUCUGGUUAAUACCUGGGGUCCAUGACGGUACCGUAAGAAUAAGCACCGGCUAACUACGUG
RNAcentral lists this ribosomal RNA (482 nucleotides) under uncultured bacterium. RNAcentral's name for it is "partial 16S ribosomal RNA". It matches the Rfam family "Bacterial small subunit ribosomal RNA", at positions 30 to 507 of the family's 1533-position model. The record is from RNAcentral.